Molecule: ribosomal RNA, 410 nt
Filed under: uncultured bacterium
Lineage: Bacteria
Description: bacterial SSU rRNA
Rfam family: Bacterial small subunit ribosomal RNA
Source: RNAcentral
AUUAAUUCGAUGCAACGCGAAAAACCUUACCUACCCUUGACAUGGCAGAAACCUCCGAGAGAUUGGAGGGUGCUCGAAAGAGAAUCUGCACACAGGUGCUGCAUGGCUGUCGUCAGCUCGUGUCGUGAGAUGUUGGGUUAAGUCCCGCAACGAGCGCAACCCUUGUCAUUAGUUGCUACGAAAGAGCACUCUAAUGAGACUGCCGGUGACAAACCGGAGGAAGGUGGGGAUGACGUCAAGUCCUCAUGGCCCUUAUGGGUAGGGCUUCACACGUCAUACAAUGGUACAUACAGAGGGCCGCCAACCCGCGAGGGGGAGCUAAUCCCAGAAAGUGUAUCGUAGUCCGGAUUGUAGUCUGCAACUCGACUGCAUGAAGUUGGAAUCGCUAGUAAUCGCGGAUCAGCAUGUCG